This 342-nucleotide ribosomal RNA is filed under the name Triticum aestivum (bread wheat). RNAcentral describes it as "partial small subunit ribosomal RNA". The record is from RNAcentral. Lineage: Eukaryota; Viridiplantae; Streptophyta; Magnoliopsida; Poales; Poaceae.
AUGGCAUGUAUAUGCGUUACUUCAACUUGCACUUUAGGCCUUGCCAGAUUCCUCGCAGCCUGGUGGCCUGAAGGCAAUGAAGCUGACGCACUGCACCUGGCGCAUGUUGUCGAAGCCGAUGACGCGGACAUAGGCAUCAGGGUACUCCUUCUUGACCUCCUCCACCUCGCUGAGCACCUGCGUUGCGUCGGUGCACCCGAACAUAGGCAGCUUCCACAUUGUCCAGUAUCGACCGUCGUAGUAGCCGGGGGAGCUGUUGUGCUCACGGAAGACGAAGCCAACCUUGCUGAACUCGAGGCAGGGCACCCACUUGGAGCGGAUCAGGUAGUCGACCUGCUUUAG